Molecule: small nucleolar RNA, 151 nt
Filed under: Drosophila yakuba
Lineage: Eukaryota; Metazoa; Arthropoda; Insecta; Diptera; Drosophilidae
Description: snoRNA:GE27085
Source: RNAcentral
UGCCCCUCUAUUUGGCCGGAUUAAUGAGUUUGUAGUUAAUUCCGAUUAUGCAUGAGGAGAAGGCAGAGUGAGGAAUGGUGGGAUUGUCCUUCGGUGCUCGAAUCCGGUUUUAAAUCCGCGAGUUUUAUCAUCCUUGUUUCCCUCCACACCU